Molecule: ribosomal RNA, 590 nt
Filed under: uncultured Bacillus sp.
Lineage: Bacteria; Bacillati; Bacillota; Bacilli; Caryophanales; Bacillaceae
Description: bacterial SSU rRNA
Rfam family: Bacterial small subunit ribosomal RNA
Source: RNAcentral
CCUACGGGAGGCAGCAGUAGGGAAUCUUCCGCAAUGGACNAAAGUCUGACGGAGCAACGCCGCGUGAGCGAUGAAGGCCUUCGGGUCGUAAAGCUCUGUUGUUAGGGAAGAACAAGUACCGUUCGAAUAGGGCGGUACCUUGACGGUACCUAACCAGAAAGCCACGGCUAACUACGUGCCAGCAGCCGCGGUAAUACGUAGGUGGCAAGCGUUAUCCGGAAUUAUUGGGCGUAAAGCGCGCGCAGGCGGUCCUUUAAGUCUGAUGUGAAAGCCCACGGCUCAACCGUGGAGGGUCAUUGGAAACUGGGGGACUUGAGUGCAGAAGAGGAGAGCGGAAUUCCACGUGUAGCGGUGAAAUGCGUAGAGAUGUGGAGGAACACCAGUGGCGAAGGCGGCUCUCUGGUCUGUAACUGACGCUGAGGCGCGAAAGCGUGGGGAGCGAACAGGAUUAGAUACCCUGGUAGUCCACGCCGUAAACGAUGAGUGCUAAGUGUUAGAGGGUUUCCGCCCUUUAGUGCUGCAGCAAACGCAUUAAGCACUCCGCCUGGGGAGUACGGUCGCAAGACUGAAACUCAAAUGAAUUGACGGGG